AUUGAACGCUGGCGGCAUGCCUUACACAUGCAAGUCGAACGGCAGCACGGGAGCAAUCCUGGUGGCGAGUGGCGAACGGGUGAGUAAUGCAUCGGAACGUGCCAUUGAGUGGGGGAUAACGUAGCGAAAGUUACGCUAAUACCGCAUAUUCUGUGCGCAGGAAAGCAGGGGAUCGCAAGACCUUGCGCUCUUUGAGCGGCCGAUGUCAGAUUAGCUAGUUGGUGGGGUAAAGGCUCACCAAGGCGACGAUCUGUAGCGGGUCUGAGAGGAUGAUCCGCCACACUGGGACUGAGACACGGCCCAGACUCCUACGGGAGGCAGCAGUGGGGAAUUUUGGACAAUGGGGGAAACCCUGAUCCAGCAAUGCCGCGUGUGUGACGAAGG
This 384-nucleotide ribosomal RNA is filed under the name uncultured bacterium. RNAcentral describes it as "bacterial SSU rRNA". It matches the Rfam family "Bacterial small subunit ribosomal RNA", at positions 30 to 414 of the family's 1533-position model. The record is from RNAcentral.